GUGCUUGUUUUGGCAGCAUAUAUACUUAAAAUUGGAAUGAUAUGGAGAGGAUUAGCAUGGUCCCUGCACAAGGAUGACAUACAAAUUUGUGAAACUCUAUAAUGUUCU
This is a small nuclear RNA of Sarcophilus harrisii (Tasmanian devil), 108 nucleotides long. The record is from Ensembl. Lineage: Eukaryota; Metazoa; Chordata; Mammalia; Dasyuromorphia; Dasyuridae.